GACGAACGCUGGCGGCGUGCUUAACACAUGCAAGUCGAACGGAAAGGCCCUGCUUUUGUGGGGUGCUAGAGUGGCGAACGGGUGAGUAACAUGUGAGUAACCUGCCCUUGACUUUGGGAUAACUUCAGGAAACUGGGGCUAAUACCGGAUAGGAGCUCCUGCUGCAUGGUGGGGGUUGGAAAGUUUCGGCGGUUGGGGAUGGACUUGGGGCUUAUCAGCUUGUUGGUGGGGUAGUGGCUUACCAAGGCUUUGACGGGUAGCCGGCCUGAGAGGGUGACCGGCCACAUUGGGACUGAGAUACGGCCCAGACUCCUACGGGAGGCAGCAGUGGGGAAUAUUGCACAAUGGGCGGAAGCCUGAUGCAGCAACGCCGCGUGCGGGAUGACGGCCUUCGGGUUGUAAACCGCUUUCGCCUGUGACGAAGCGUGAGUGACGGUAAUGGGUAAAGAAGCACCGGCUAACUACGUG
This 468-nucleotide ribosomal RNA is filed under the name uncultured bacterium. RNAcentral describes it as "partial 16S ribosomal RNA". It matches the Rfam family "Bacterial small subunit ribosomal RNA", at positions 28 to 507 of the family's 1533-position model. The record is from RNAcentral.